GGUCAUAUUGGAGGGGUAAGAAGCCUAAAUAGAGAGAUAUCAUUUAUACUAAAUUUUUGUACACAUAGUCUUUAUAUUUAUAACUUACUUCGUUGACAACUCUUUUAUCAGAGCUCUAGAAGGUUAUCAUUUAUUAAGAGGUAUUAAGAAGAAGAAGCCUAAUUGGAAGAAUAUUAUGGGGCAUCAACAAGAUAACGGAUGGGCAUGUGGAUAUUAUGUCAUGAAAAAUAUGUUUGACAUUAUUGAUGCUUGUAUUGUUGAAAGAUUCAAUGAGAUAUUCACAGACACCUCAUCAUAUGAAAAAGAGUCAAUUGAUCACAUCCGACAACUUUGGGCUCAAUUCUUUUUGCAAAAGGUUGAAGAGCAAGAGAACCAGGAAAAGAAAGAUUUAAUGACAAAACAGAAGCGAUUAAAAAAAACUUAUAUAGAGAUAUAUUUUUGUUCCAUGAAUGAUUUAUUGGUACAAGUUAC
This is a long non-coding RNA of Lathyrus oleraceus (garden pea), 471 nucleotides long. RefSeq lists it as uncharacterized. The transcript is spliced from 3 exons. The record is from RefSeq and is a predicted model, not a curated record. NCBI's taxonomy places the organism in Eukaryota, Viridiplantae, Streptophyta, Magnoliopsida, Fabales, Fabaceae.